AUUUUGAUUUACUUAUGUAUAGAGAAAAAAAAAAUUUGGUGUAAAAUUUGAAGAUACUGUUUAAAUGCAUAAAUAUUUUGUUCGGAGUAUUUUUUUAGUUUGUUUAAAAAUAUUAUAGUAUUUGAUAGAAAAAAAGUAUGAUUAGAUGCCGAAACAUAGGUAAAAUUUGUCAUUUUAAUUAAUAUUACAUUAUCAAAUGGUUAUAUACUUUGCUAAAUUAUAAGGAGCGUGUAUAUAUAUAUAUAUACAGAGUGAGGCUACUAUGCUAUUGGAAGCACGGAGCUUUCCGUGCUACUAGCUCGUUUUCGAUGUUGCGACUUUCGAAUCGUCGAUCGGCUCCGUUAAACUUGAUCUAGAGUGUUUGGACUACCUAGAAAAUGAAUUUUAUUAAUUUUCGAUAUCAUUUGCCUAGUGAUCGAAUGGGCUCAAAAUCAACAAAUUUCAAUGGCCGUAGUAUGUCGUUUGCAAGUUUAACGGUGUAGAAAUAUCCAAAUCACGUGAAAUUUUGAUAGAAAAUUCUUUAUACUAUAUAAAACAAGAUCAAUAUCUUUGAUUUAAAAUUUUAAUGUCAUAUUAUUACAUUUUGUAAGAUUUUUAUUUUCAGCCGUUGAUU
This 613-nucleotide long non-coding RNA is filed under the name Ananas comosus (pineapple). RNAcentral's name for it is "long non-coding RNA (ACOM_LNC004873)". The record is from RNAcentral. Lineage: Eukaryota; Viridiplantae; Streptophyta; Magnoliopsida; Poales; Bromeliaceae.